RNAcentral lists this ribosomal RNA (253 nucleotides) under uncultured bacterium. RNAcentral's name for it is "partial 16S ribosomal RNA". It matches the Rfam family "Bacterial small subunit ribosomal RNA", at positions 524 to 776 of the family's 1533-position model. The record is from RNAcentral.
UACGUAGGGUGCAAGCGUUAUCCGGAUUUAUUGGGCGUAAAGGGAACGCAGGCGGUCUUUUAAGUCUGAUGUGAAAGCCUUCGGCUUAACCGGAGUAGUGCAUUGGAAACUGGGAGACUUGAGUGCAGAAGAGGAGAGUGGAACUCCAUGUGUAGCGGUGAAAUGCGUAGAUAUAUGGAAGAACACCAGUGGCGAAAGCGGCUCUCUGGUCUGUAACUGACGCUGAGGUUCGAAAGCGUGGGUAGCAAAUAGG